AGAGAGAGAAACCUGGAGAGUGAGGGAGGAUAGAAAGCAUUGGGGGAACGAGAGAGGAGUCAACAAUAGUGUUGAGCACGUUUCCCGAGAUGAUGUAAGUAAACAACGAAAUAUCCCUCUAAAUGAUACAAUACAUCCCGGAUAUAAGCAGUUAAGAUCAACGGAAAAGGGAGAAGGAGCAGAAACCAAAACUGCAAAAGAACCUGAAAACCCAAGUAGUCCACACAAACCAGUGAUUCAACAGGACAACAAAUAUUCUUCAUCCGAUAACUCUGAGAAUUCCAAAACAAAAUCUGGAAAAAUAAACUGCAUAUGCUUAUAUCAUACCUUUGACCCAGAGAUGCUAAGAUGCUCCAGCUGUGGUAACUUUUCCCACAAAACUUGUUACAACAGCAACCUGAAAAGUACUCAUCAAUGCGUAUGUUUAAUUAAGGAAGGCGUAAAAUGUGGAAACCCCGAAAUAGAUAACCAUUUCAGUAAUAAAUCAAGAUCUAUCGAGGAAAAUCUUGCUUUUGUUUUCAACCUCAAUCGUAAGAGAGUCUUGAAAUCAAUUCUAAACCAAGAGUUCCUAACCUGUCAGCCGGGAAGCGAUCCUUCCAUAGAAUUUUUGAAAAUAAGGUUUGGUUACUCCACCGAUUAUGCAUCACCCUGAACUUAUUAAGUGAGGGCUUCAUUACAAUCUCCGAUGGGUUCUCUUUUAAUGCUGGUAUUAUUAUUAAAGAAUUAGGGCUCCGCAAUGAUGAUAAUGAGUUAGACGAAGCAUUGAGGAGAGAAUCUAAAGAGCAGUUAUUUGAAAUUAGGGACUGCUUCAACAAAAUACCAGAAAACUCUAAAAAAGAGGCAGAGAAAAGAGAAACUCUCAAGGAUGAUCUAAAUACAUCAGAAAUCAAAGACAAAGGUCCAAGGAAAGGGAAAGCUUCCAAUACCAACCACUCCUCAAAACCAUGGAUCAAGCGUGAGAUGGAUUUACCAAGUUCAUAGUACAACAAAGAACAUGGCGUACACGGUACAGGGAUUAAUAUUGAGUCAAGUUCAUGGAACACAGAAGAAGAACAGACUAGCCCAAGACCAAUGAGUAUCGAAGGAGAAGAGUCUGGACUAAGUAUAAGGAACGUGAGUGAAGAGUCUGUACCAAUUAUAAUUGUAAACGAUGAGACUGAAACCACAACAAACAGAAAUAGAGGAGAGAAAAGAAAGAUUCAGACGCAAUCAAGUGAGGGAAAGAAACUAAACCAAUCUGAUAUUAGGUUAGCCAAGUUUGCCACUCUCCUGAGUCAAGAUGACACUGGGAAUAUAGUUGAAAUACGUAAUAUUGACGAUGAGGAAAUAAACUCAUCGAUAACAGAUUCGGUUCCAAAUAAAACAUUUGAACCUUUCGAAUCUGAAAAAAUAAAGAGGAUUCCGGCACAAACUCCCCGGGAAGAAAAAGAUCUUAAUGUGAACAAAAUAGAUUCAGAAACCGGUAGACCUAAACCUGCGAGAAGAAUGCAAAUUUCAGGCUCCGACGGCAAAGGGAACCAUGUUGUCAAUAUUUCAGUAAAAAUACCAACCUGUUGUCAGAGCUCAACACAGAGAAUGGAGGAUUUUGUUACAGUCAAUUAUGAAGAAGGUAAGGAUAAAGUCGAUGGUUCUACCCAGAUCCAAGUUACAGAUCCUGAGAUGCAUGUAGACGACGACAAUAUGGAAAUAGAAGAAAAAUGUAAAGCAAUCAAAAAGCUUGUCUUGGGCAGUGACACAGAUGAUGAUGACAGCAAUAUGUCCAUGCUAGAUUUAUGCGUAUUUAAAAGGGAAUUUAUUGAAGAAAAUGCGCCGAAUCUCGGAGUGCCAGACAACAUGCUACCUGAAAUGCCCGAACGGCUACCUAGAAAGUCACGUAAUCCUCAUUUUAAAAGUGGAACUGGAUUGGUGCUGAGAGCUCUUACCCGCAAAUAUGAGCUGACUCUGGGAAGAGUGGAUUCCUACAAUAUCUGCGGGAUUCAGUCUGCUGUUCAAACAUUUUGUAAGCAAGUAGAUAAGCAAAAUCCUCCGACACAAGCAGCAGUUAGCACUGCUUUAAGUACGAGUCUACGAAAAAAGAAAUGGAUUAUGUUAGACGCCGAGAAUAUGUAUCAGAUCACAGAGGCAGGAUUACAGAUGGCAAGAAUAUUGAAUAAGGAUGCUGCUGAUUACAAGAAGAUGUAUGAUGAUGAAAAUACUGAAAUAAUUAUGCCUGACUCGGACUAGAUACAAUAGGACAAGCUUCUGUAGUCAGAACUUUUAAAUUCAUUUUUGAUCUACAGAUUAAUUUAAUUCCUAAACCUUGCAGGGAUAACUGCAAUUAAGGGAUCAAGUAUUUAAGAUAAUUGAUUCCGACCUCUGGUCAUGUUUUAUUCUCAUUAUUUAACUAGUCUAUAUAAAAAAACAUUUGUGUAUGUAUAUAUGUUGCCAAACGGCUGAAUUUUCAUUUGUGGACACUCAUAGGUGGUGUUAAAGGCUAAAAAAAUUAUUUAAUUUUUUUCCCACGGGCAACGCUGGUCCCUUCAGCUAGUAGAUAUUAAAACAGUUCACAAUACACCUUGUCAAUCUCAAAUAAAUAUCUCGUUUAUUUUUCACUAUAAUUGCAUAAUUUUUCACAUAUAUGUUUUCACUAUAAUUGCUUAUAUUUUUUCACCCGGUGCAUUGAUGACACCAGUGGACAAGUGAUGCCAAGGUUUACCAGUGAUUUUAAACAUGUAAAACCGUAUGAAAAGUAUUUUAUACUGAUUUUGGUCUAAAGUAAAUGCGAUUUAUGAAAUAGAACACUUAAACAAUUUUGCUUGCAUAAAAUCAAGUUGAAUUAUCGCCGCCAGUUUGGCCGAAUUUAAAGAAUUUGAGCCGCGUCUCAAAUUUAAGACGCGGCUCAAACAUGGUUGGUUCCACUUGAAAUUGUAUUCAGUGUCUCGAGAUUUGAGCCGGUGCUCAACUGAAACCGGUUCAGUGACGAGAUUUAAAGUCUUAAAAUUCGGCCUCGUAUCCUAGAUCCUAUAUACUUGGUUUCUAGUAUUAUGUACUUAACACUGCUUGAUAAUCAUUAACCCUAAAAAUUGAAUUGUAUGUUACCCUAAUUAAAGUACCUAACUAUUAAGUGUUAAGUACAAGACUGUAAUGAACCAAGUACCUAGUAACCAUAAAGAAUCUUUAUAAAAUCAAGUUCGUAAAUACAAGUAUUAGUCGAUGUAA
Molecule: unclassified non-coding RNA, 3198 nt
Filed under: Eurytemora carolleeae
Lineage: Eukaryota; Metazoa; Arthropoda; Copepoda; Calanoida; Temoridae
Description: uncharacterized LOC111710830
Source: RNAcentral